ACGUAGGGGGCAAGCGUUGUCCGGAAUUAUUGGGCGUAAAGGGUGCGUAGGCGGUUUGACAAGUCAGAUGUGAAAUAUCCGGGCUUAACCUGGAGGGUGCAUUUGAAACUGUCAGACUUGAGUGCAGGAGAGGAAAGUGGAAUUCCUAGUGUAGCGGUGAAAUGCGUAGAUAUUAGGAGGAACACCAGUGGCGAAGGCGACUUUCUGGACUGUAACUGACGCUGAGGCACGAAAGCGUGGGGAGCAAACAG
This 251-nucleotide ribosomal RNA is filed under the name uncultured prokaryote. RNAcentral's name for it is "partial 16S rRNA". It matches the Rfam family "Bacterial small subunit ribosomal RNA", at positions 525 to 775 of the family's 1533-position model. The record is from RNAcentral.